UACGGAAGGCAGCAGUGGGGAAUAUUGCACAAUGGGCGAAAGCCUGAUGCAGCUAUGUCGCGUGUAUGAAGAAGGCCUUAGGGUUGUAAAGUACUUUCAUCGGGGAGGAAAAAACAAAACUAAUAAUUUUAUUUCUUGACGUUACCCGAAAAAGAAGCACCGGCUAACUCCGUGCCAGCAGCCGCGGUAAUACGGAGGGUGCUAGCGUUAAUCAGAAUUACUGGGCGUAAAGAGCACGUAGGUGGUUUUUUUAAGUCAGAUGUGAAAUCCCUGGGCUUAACCUGGAACUGCAUUUUGAAACUGAAAUACUAGAGUAUCGUAGAGGGAGGUAGAAUUCUAGGUGUAGCGGUGAAAUGCGUAGAUAUCUGGAGGAAUACCUGUGGCGAAAGCGGCCUCCUAAACGAAUACUGACACUGAGGUGCGAAAGCGUGGGGAGCAAACAGGGAUUAGAUACC
This 455-nucleotide ribosomal RNA is filed under the name uncultured bacterium. RNAcentral's name for it is "bacterial SSU rRNA". It matches the Rfam family "Bacterial small subunit ribosomal RNA", at positions 340 to 786 of the family's 1533-position model. The record is from RNAcentral.